This 1961-nucleotide long non-coding RNA is filed under the name Junco hyemalis (dark-eyed junco). RNAcentral describes it as "lncRNA (ENSJHYG00000004076.1)". The record is from RNAcentral. Lineage: Eukaryota; Metazoa; Chordata; Aves; Passeriformes; Passerellidae.
CCGUGCCUCAGUUUCCCCGCAGCGCUGCCCGGGCAGGGCUGGGCUGGGUUCCCCGCUGAUGCCGCUCUCGCUGCCCGCAGGGACGGCGCUGAGCACCACAUGAGUGCGGCAGCAGCAUGGCCAGCGACGCGAGGAUGGGGGAGAGCCCGGCGCGCUGGAGAAGAGCGGCGGAGGCAGCGCAGGACUCGCGGGGGAUGGAGAGCAGCGCCAUGCUUCUAUCCCGGAGCGCCGGGGCCGAGCUGGGACUCCCGGCCUACCCAGAGCCCGGCAAGCUGAGCUACACCCUGGAGAAAGGCUGGAGGAGCUCCGAGGGGUGUUUGGGAGCCGGUGCCCACCUGGGCUGCCCCUACCCCCGGGGCGCCAAGGACGGAGCGGAGCUGCCCCCGCUGCUGCCCCCUCGGAACGGGCAGCCCAAGGGGGGCUGGGGGGAGCCCUGCAAGGAGCCGCGCUGGGCCGAGGCCGUGCUGGCCCCGCUGGCGCUCUACAGCCACUCGUACCACCGCUACCACCCCCUGGCAGUGCCCGGCAAACCCCGCGAUGCGGCCGGAGAGCCCCCGGCCCCCUUCCAGCACUGCCCUUUCCUCGUGGAGGCCAAGCACAGCCCCUUCCUGCUCUCCUCGCUGCUGCCCGGCGCGCCCCAGGCCGAGCCCGCGUUCGAGGGGCCGGGCCCGGUGGGGAACGGGCGCUUCGCCGGCCCGGAGUGGAGUCUGGGCUCCUACGGGCCCGCCUGGGGCCAGCCCCUCUACCUGGGGGUCCCGCCGCGGUGCAAGGCGGCUCUGCCCCCCUUCGACGGCUGCUCCAGCUCAGGGAACAAGGAGUUUUACGCCAAGAAAGGCGCCGGGUUCCACGCCUCGAGCAAGAACCACGCGGCGCCGCCGCUGCUGGGCAGGAGCCAAGCGGGGCCGGAGCGGGCCGGGCAGGGGGAGCCGGCGCUGCCGGAGCUGCCGGGAGCCCCGUGGGGGGAUGGCCGGGCCGGGGGCAGCUCGGCGGUGCCCCCUCCCCAUCCCCGCACGCCGCCCCCCGGCUCCAGCCGCCCCCUGCUCCUCCUGCAGCCCGGCCCCUGGGUGGGCUCACGGCCGCACGGCGCUGAGUUUUCCAUGGACACGGGGCCGGGACGACCCUCAGAGCCCAAAGAUGCCCCCAAAGAGCCCAAUCCCUCGGCGGUGCUGGCGGACGGGCACUACCCAGCGGCUCUGGCCAAACCUGAACCCCCCUCGGGCUGUCUGUGCCCCACCCCGGGCUGCCAUGGGUGCCCGGGGGUGCCCUUCGAGCCCACCUUGGGGCGCUUUCCGUGCCCACCCAGCAACCACACCAAGCUGAAGAAGACGUGGCUGACGCGGCACUCGGAGCAGUCGCUGCCCCGCUCCAAAGCCCCGCGGCGGGACGGGGGUCCCGAGCCCCCCGGCGAGGGAAAGCGCUCGGCCAAACGCCCCCACGGCCCCGCCGAGGGUCCCCGCACUGCCAGCGAGGGCGCAGCGGCGGCCAAAAGGGGCUCCAAGACCACGGGGGACAGCGAGGAGAGGAGGAUGGAGCUGGGGGAGGAAGAGCCGCCGAGCCGCUGGUGCCUGCAGAGCCUGCCCUGCACGGCGCUGCCCCCCAGCAUCCCCCGCUGCUGGGCCUGCGCCCCCCGCGCCCGGAGGGACCCCCAGGGUGAGGAGGAGGAGGAGGAGGAGGAGGAAGAGCACCCCGAGAGCAGCUGCAGGCUGCUGCACUUCCGCAGGUGAGUCCGGGGGGAGAUCACAGGGUUGGGGCAUCCAGCAGGACGUGUCAGGGGGCGGCGGAGCAGCUCCUUCUUUGGAAUGUCCCUUUUGUCACCCUGCUUUGGAAUGUCCCCUUCUAUCACCCCUUGUCACCCUUCCUUUCCAGUGUCACCCAACUGUUAGAGCAUCCCCUCCUGAAAGGACAUUCCUUCCUGUCACCCCACUUUGGGACACCCUCACAUGUCACCCUGCUUCACAACA